GGGGAUUUAGCUCAGUGGCAUAAGCGCCUGCCUUGCAAGCAGGCAGUCCUGAGUUCGAUCCUUGGUACCGUUA
RNAcentral lists this transfer RNA (73 nucleotides) under Cavia porcellus (domestic guinea pig). It matches the Rfam family "tRNA". Rfam says of the family: Transfer RNA (tRNA) molecules are approximately 80 nucleotides in length. Their secondary structure includes four short double-helical elements and three loops (D, anti-codon, and T loops). Lineage: Eukaryota; Metazoa; Chordata; Mammalia; Rodentia; Caviidae. The record is from Rfam by way of RNAcentral.